AAACUGAGAACCUCUAGCACUGAAGCUUGUCAACAUUUCAUCGCUGGUCUGAUGGAACUUGCCGAGAAAAGAACAGAGGUUCACAGAAGAAGACGACUUAUUAAAGGAAACAAAAGCCAAAGAAAACGUAGCCCUGGUGAUUGAUGCUGAGUAACUGAAUAUUUGAUCCUUACGCCGGCUGUAACAAACAAUAGCCGCCGGAGUGGCUAUUGCAGUAACCAUUAGACUUGAGCGGCG
This 237-nucleotide unclassified non-coding RNA is filed under the name Hevea brasiliensis (rubber tree). The record is from RNAcentral. Lineage: Eukaryota; Viridiplantae; Streptophyta; Magnoliopsida; Malpighiales; Euphorbiaceae.